AGGCAGCAGUGGGGAAUAUUGCACAAUGGGCGAAAGCCUGAUGCAGCUAUGCCGCGUGUAUGAAGAAGGCCUUAGGGUUGUAAAGUACUUUCAGCGGGGAGGAAAAAAAUAAAUCUAAUAAAUUUAUUUCGUGACGUUACCCGCAGAAGAAGCACCGGCUAACUCCGUGCCAGCAGCCGCGGUAA
RNAcentral lists this ribosomal RNA (185 nucleotides) under uncultured bacterium. RNAcentral describes it as "partial 16S ribosomal RNA". It matches the Rfam family "Bacterial small subunit ribosomal RNA", at positions 346 to 523 of the family's 1533-position model. The record is from RNAcentral.